Molecule: ribosomal RNA, 254 nt
Filed under: uncultured bacterium
Lineage: Bacteria
Description: partial 16S ribosomal RNA
Rfam family: Bacterial small subunit ribosomal RNA
Source: RNAcentral
UACGUAGGGACCGAGCGUUGUCCGGAAUCAUUGGGCGUAAAGAGCGUGUAGGCGGCCUGUUAAGUCUUGCGUGAAAUCUCGGGGCUCAACCCCGAGCGGUCGUGAGAAACUGGCAGGCUAGAGUGCGGGAGAGGAGAGUGGAAUUCCUGGUGUAGCGGUGAAAUGCGCAGAUAUCAGGAAGAACACCCCGUGGCGAAGGCGGCUCUCUGGAACGCAACUGACGCUGAGGCGCGAAAGCUAGGGGAGCAAACAGG